AUACGUAGGGGGCAAGCGUUGUCCGGAAUUACUGGGCGUAAAGCGCACGCAGGCUGACUUAUAAGUCGGUAGUCUAAUGCGGAGGCUCAACUUCCGUUUAUCUAUCGAUACUGUAAGACUAGAGUAUGUGAGAGGGAAGUGGAGUUCCCGGUGUAGCGGUGAAAUGCGUAGAUAUCGGGAGGAACACCAGUGGCGAAGGCGACUUCCUGGCACAAUACUGACGCUCAUGUGCGAAAGCUAGGGUAGCGAACGGGAUUAGAUACCCCGGUAGUCCUAGCCGUAAACGAUGGAUACUAGGUGUGGGUGUCGCAGGGCAUCCGUGCCGCAGCUAACGCGUUAAGUAUCCCGCCUGGGGACUACGGUCGCAAGACUGAAACUCAAAUGAAUUGACGGGG
This 395-nucleotide ribosomal RNA is filed under the name uncultured bacterium. RNAcentral describes it as "partial 16S ribosomal RNA". It matches the Rfam family "Bacterial small subunit ribosomal RNA", at positions 523 to 918 of the family's 1533-position model. The record is from RNAcentral.